RNAcentral lists this ribosomal RNA (524 nucleotides) under uncultured bacterium. RNAcentral's name for it is "partial 16S ribosomal RNA". It matches the Rfam family "Bacterial small subunit ribosomal RNA", at positions 28 to 523 of the family's 1533-position model. The record is from RNAcentral.
GACGAACGCUGGCGGCGUGCCUAAUACAUGCAAGUCGAGCGCAGGAAGCCGUCUGAACCCUUCGGGGGGACGACGGUGGAAUGAGCGGCGGACGGGUGAGUAACACGUAAGGAACCUGCCUCAAGGAUUGGGAUAACUCCGAGAAAUCGGAGCUAAUACCGGAUAGUUCAACGGACCGCAUGGUCCGCUGAUGAAAGGCGCUCCGGCGUCCCCUUGAGAUGGCCUUGCGGUGCAUUAGCUAGUUGGUGGGGUAACGGCCCACCAAGGCGACGAUGCAUAGCCGACCUGAGAGGGUGAUCGGCCACACUGGGACUGAGACACGGCCCAGACUCCUACGGGAGGCAGCAGUAGGGAAUCUUCCACAAUGGACGAAAGUCUGAUGGAGCAACGCCGCGUGAGUGAUGAAGGUUUUCGGAUCGUAAAACUCUGUUGUAAGGGAAGAACACGUACGAGAGGGAAUGCUCGUACCUUGACGGUACCUUACGAGAAAGCCACGGCUAACUACGUGCCAGCAGCCGCCGUAA